UGAGACAAGAGAAAGAGACUGAUUGUUGCUGAGUCCCUGCUGCAGUCCUGACACAGCUCUCCUUAUUUUGUUGAUGCUCAUGAGGACCCUGAUGUCUGAGGAAGAAGGUUCACAUCCAACUCUGCCCCUGGUGUGUCACGUGCCGGCCUUGUCAACGCACACGAGAACCUGACAGGGUCCCAUGGAAUUCAGACAAGGAAGUAAAGCAAAUGAGAAUGGCCCACAGGGGAGCAGUUCAAAUGCGCAGAAAAAGAUAGAGCAGCCCCAAUGAGGAAGGAAGGCUGGACAAGAAAUGGAUUUGUAGGGAAGACAAUGUGCACCCAUCGGAGCUCUGAUUGCUUUACUUUCACUACCCUCCCCUGCCCACUAACAUCGAAAAAGU
Molecule: long non-coding RNA, 382 nt
Filed under: Homo sapiens (human)
Lineage: Eukaryota; Metazoa; Chordata; Mammalia; Primates; Hominidae
Description: non-protein coding lnc-CCDC127-2:1
Source: RNAcentral